AUACGGAGGGUGCAAGCGUUAAUCGGAAUUACUGGGCGUAAAGCGUACGUAGGCGGUUCGUUAAGUUAGAUGUGAAAGCCCCGGGCUUAACCUGGGAACUGCAUUUAAAACUGGCGAACUAGAGUUGAGUAGAGGGGAGUGGAAUUUCAGGUGUAGCGGUGAAAUGCGUAGAGAUCUGAAGGAACACCAGUGGCGAAGGCGACUCCCUGGACUCGAACUGACGCUGAGGUACGAAAGCGUGGGUAGCAAACGGGAGUAGAAACCCUUGUAGUCC
RNAcentral lists this ribosomal RNA (274 nucleotides) under uncultured bacterium. Its description in RNAcentral is "partial 16S ribosomal RNA". It matches the Rfam family "Bacterial small subunit ribosomal RNA", at positions 523 to 796 of the family's 1533-position model. The record is from RNAcentral.